Molecule: ribosomal RNA, 120 nt
Filed under: Petromyzon marinus (sea lamprey)
Lineage: Eukaryota; Metazoa; Chordata; Hyperoartia; Petromyzontiformes; Petromyzontidae
Source: RNAcentral
GCCUGUGACCAGAGCACUUUGAGCAUGACCAAUCUCUUCAUAUCGCAGAAGCUAAGCGGAUUUUUAGCCUGGUUAGUAUUUGGAUGGGGGACCAUUGGGGCUUGCCAAGUGUUGUAGGCG